GACGAACGCUGGCGGCGUGCUUAACACAUGCCAGUCGAACGGAAAGGCCCUGCUUUUGUGGGGUGCUCGAGUGGCGAACGGGUGAGUAACACGUGAGUAACCUGCCCUUGACUUUGGGAUAACUUCAGGAAACUGGGGCUAAUACCGGAUAGGAGCUCCUGCUGCAUGGUGGGGGUUGGAAAGUUUCGGCGGUUGGGGAUGGACUCGCGGCUUAUCAGCUUGUUGGUGGGGUAGUGGCUUACCAAGGCUUUGACGGGUAGCCGGCCUGAGAGGGUGACCGGCCACAUUGGGACUGAGAUACGGCCCAGACUGCUACGGGAGGCAGCAGUGGGGAAUAUUGCACAAUGGGCGGAAGCCUGAUGCAGCAACGCCGCGUGCGGGAUGACGGCCUUCGGGUUGUAAACCGCUUUCGCCUGUGACGAAGCGUGAGUGACGGUAAUGGGUAAAGAAGCACCGGCUAACUACGU
Molecule: ribosomal RNA, 467 nt
Filed under: uncultured bacterium
Lineage: Bacteria
Description: partial 16S ribosomal RNA
Rfam family: Bacterial small subunit ribosomal RNA
Source: RNAcentral